This 434-nucleotide ribosomal RNA is filed under the name uncultured bacterium. Its description in RNAcentral is "partial 16S ribosomal RNA". It matches the Rfam family "Bacterial small subunit ribosomal RNA", at positions 29 to 507 of the family's 1533-position model. The record is from RNAcentral.
AGCGAACGCUGGCGGCAGGCCUAACACAUGCAAGUCGAACGAACCCUUCGGGGUUAGUGGCGGACGGGUGAGUAACACGUGGGAACGUGCCUUUAGGUUCGGAAUAACUCAGGGAAACUUGUGCUAAUACCGAAUGUGCCCUUCGGGGGAAAGAUUAAUCGCCUUUAGAGCGGCCCGCGUCUGAUUAGCUAGUUGGUUGAGGUAAUGGCGCACCAAGGCGACGAUCAGUAGCUGGUCUGAGAGGAUGAUCAGCCACAUUGGGACUGAGACACGGCCCAAACUCCUACGGGAGGCAGCAGUGGGGAAUCUUGCGCAAUGGGCGAAAGCCUGACGCAGCCAUGCCGCGUGAAUGAUGAAGGUCUUAGGAUUGUAAAAUUCUUUCACCGGGGACGAUAAUGACGGUACCCGGAGAAGAAGCCCCGGCUAACUUCGUG